Long non-coding RNA from Lactuca sativa (garden lettuce), 986 nucleotides. RefSeq lists it as uncharacterized. The record is from RefSeq and is a predicted model, not a curated record. Lineage: Eukaryota; Viridiplantae; Streptophyta; Magnoliopsida; Asterales; Asteraceae.
UUUUAUAUCUCAUAUCUUUGUGUAAAUCAAGAUAUCUACAACUAUUGAAUCAUAUGAUGAUUUUUCAAACUAAUCAGGUGUUUAACACUCGUGAAAUUUUGAAGGAAUGAGUUGAUAAUUUGGCACGAAUUCUCGGAUAUAUGGUCAUUACAAAGAGAUCAAAAAUAAAAAGUGGCUAUGUUUCAAAAGUCAUUUUCGUUUGUGAUCGAAAUGGUGUUUAUAGAGCCGUCAUCGUGUUCAUCACCUGACUAACGGGCAAAGAUGGAAGAAGGCAGACGAAUGUAAUACAAUGAGAGGGAAACACGAAACGUAAUAAGGGGGUGCAAAGGGUCGCAUUUGGUCGAUCGAAUUGCGAGGAGGUCGUCUCCGGAAUCGAUGAGGCCGAAACAAUGAAGGUGGGAAGAAUCCGUGAAGCCCUCUUCCUGCUCUGAUGGUGAUGUGUGAAGGGGGAAAAGAAAGCAUUGUCUUCUCGAUUCUAAGCGGCUAAGCCUUCUCCAAACAUUUCUUCUACUAAUCUACUCUUCUGUUGAGUCGAUGUCUCACUAAGUCACAGAAUCGCUUCACUUAAUUGUUGCACGCUGCUAUUCUUCCCAAUCUUCUUCCUUCUUCAUUCUUUAUUCUCAGUUAAGGUAUACCUGAAAUCAAGAACUAGAAUGUUCUUGUUUUCUUGGCUGGGAACGAAAUGAGAGAUAUCGAAGCAAUACAUGGUACAUGUGAACAUUACAACAUUCUACUGGAAUGGAAUCUUGAAUUCCGAUUCUAUCAUAAUAGAAUCUUGAACUCAUAUCCUCCAAAAAGAAUGGAUAACAUUGUAUGGGAUGAAGAUGAAGAUGAACAAUGACCACCAAUCUUCGAAAAAGAAUGUAUUAUUCUAGCAGAAUAAUAUACAAUAUAAGGAAAAAACUAUAUCUAACAGUAUAUUCUGGUAGAAUAAUGUAUAUAUCAUGUUUCUUUGUUAUUAAUAAGUGUAACAUUAUCAUAGAAUA